This is an RNA transcript of Panicum virgatum (switchgrass), 1810 nucleotides long. It is a transcript of the gene named ATP synthase subunit d, mitochondrial-like, with no coding region annotated. Lineage: Eukaryota; Viridiplantae; Streptophyta; Magnoliopsida; Poales; Poaceae. The record is from RefSeq and is a predicted model, not a curated record. The transcript has 6 exons.
CGUGCUGCUGCUCGUCGAGCCGUGCUCUGCGUGCUGCUGCUCGCGCCCCGCGCCGCGUGCUGCUGCUUCUGGCCGCCUCGUGCCGCAUGCUGCUGCGUGUGGGUGGCCGCGGCUGCCUGCUGCGGCGUGCGGCUGCUGCCACCGUCGCUUUGCUGCCGCGCUGGGGCUCCUAGGCUCGGUCCCUUGCUCCGCCGCCGCCGGGGCCCGCCGCGCCACCCCCGGUGCUCUUCCCUACGCUGGCGUCGGAGAAGACAAUUGAAAAAAAAUGUUGAUCUAGUUUUUGCCAAAUGUUGAAUCUAUUUUUUUCAUAUGUUGAAAUAGUUCAUAAAAAAUGUUGAAGAUAGUUUGUAGAAAUGUUGAAUUUAAUUUGAGCCUAGUGGGUUUUAUAGAUAAAUAGCUUGCGGAAGAUAUAUAGGAGCCCCCUGUCCGCCGGCUCCAUCACCGAGGCGAACGUAGAUCGGCGGCGGCGGCGCGAGGAGGAGAGGGAGGGGGGAGGCGGGCAAGAUGAGCGGGAACGGCGUGGUGAAGAAGGUGGCGGAUGCCGCGGCGAAGGCCGGCAAGGCGAUCGACUGGGACGGCCUGGGCAAGAUGCUCGUCUCCGAGGAGGCCCGCAAGGAGUUCGCCACCCUCCGCUGCACCUUCGAGGACGUCAACCACCAGCUCCAGACCAAGUUCUCGCAGGAACCCAAGCCAAUUGACUGGGAGUACUACAGAAAAGGAAUUGGAUCAAAAGUUGUCGAUAUGUACAAGGAGGCCUACGAAAGCAUAGAGAUCCCAAGUAUGUUGACACUGUCACUCCUCAGUACAAGCCAAAGUUUGAUGCUCUGUUGGUAGAGAUGAAGGAAGCGGAAAAGGUAUCACUGAAGGAAUCAGAGAGGAUAGAGAAGGAGAUUGCUGAAAUGAAGGAGAUGAAGAAAAAGAUCAGCACGAUGACCGCAGACGAGUACUUUGCCAAGCACCCUGAACUCAAACAGAAAUUUGAUGAUGAGAUCCGCAAUGAUUACUGGGGAUACUAAGACGCAGCAGCUAGUGGAUGGGAGGCGCCAAAGUUUCAACUAACUCGGCUAUUCUUGUACCAUGGUCAGACCUCAUCAUUUUAAGGUUCAACAGCUUCUAUCAUAAGAAAAAUUAGUUUUUGCUUCUGGGUUCGUAAAACUGACAUGAAAAUUUCUUCUGGUCUUGAUUUGUGCCAUAUAAUUUUGGUGGUCGGUAUACUCAUCCUACUUGUCCAAGCUCCUGAGACUGGAUCUGAUACAGAAUUUUGCUUUAUAUUACUUAGCAUGUCACUGCAAACUGCAAGAACAUGAUUACCCUUCAUAAGCAAUGUACUGCCGUGAGCAAUCCUGUGCUUGAUGAAAUUGCACCCAGAGAUUCUUGAGAUUCUUGACAUCUCGGUCCUGGGGUUGGCAAAUUUCAUAGUAGUUUGUCGGUACGGUCAAUUGGAAUUAUUUUGGUGGCAAAACCAAAGUAGUUUGUCUCGGUGCCACAAUGGGAAUGUGAACAAAGAAGGAAAAGAAAAGAAUAAAAGAGAGCAAAAAAAAAACACUGCAAUUGAGUAUAUCAGUGACACUUGAGAUCAGACCAAUGUUAUACAGUCGUCUAGUCGAACCUAGUCGCCAUGACACCGAUAAGGCGACUAGUCGCGACUAGUCGUCGAUCAGGUCGAUUAGUCGACCCUAGUCGGUCCUAGUCGUCGCUAUAGUCGUCCUAUAUAUCCCACGACAUAUAUGUACAUGUAUAUGUACUUAUAUACUAUAUAGCAAGCAGGAACACCACAAUGAUAGUCAGUUUGGUGACACUUGUGAGAUUU